UAUGCAUGAGUAGUCUCACUGAAUUCAAUACUGUUCAGGGUCCUGCCUUAUGCAGGAAGUCAGAUUACAUGAUCAAAAGGACAUCUUCUGGUUUUAAACUCUAGGAAUCUGUGACUACUCUCGUGCUUAAGUGUUUGCAUUGUAUUCAAGAAAUACACCAGAACAAACUCUUGGAGGCACAGUCAGCUUGGAAAACUCACAUUUUGGACUGGAAAAAAAGAAGUUCAGAGAAGUGGGAGCCGACUGAGGUGGGGAAUCUUGCCUGAAUAAGACAUUUCAACUGCUCACCUUCAACUUCUGGUCACUGACUUCCUUCCUUGAUGAUCAAAGAAAUUUGGAGGGAAGGGCGCACGAGAGAAAUACCCCAAAUUGUGGAUUUCAAUGAGUUGGGAGCUUUGGGAAGGAGAACCAAUCACAGACCGGUGCCCCCUCCCCAAAUAAAAAUGUUUCUCAUGACUCCCUCAUGACUGUGGAGAAAAGCUUGAACAUGUGAACAUCAAAGGCUCCAACACCAGAAGGCUGGUGUUUCUUGAGUCUUCUUGACAUCAAAACCCCAAUGAGUACAGAACCCGCCAGAACUCCACCUACUGCUGCCAAAAUCAC
This is a long non-coding RNA of Caretta caretta (loggerhead turtle), 603 nucleotides long. RefSeq lists it as uncharacterized. The record is from RefSeq and is a predicted model, not a curated record. NCBI's taxonomy places the organism in Eukaryota, Metazoa, Chordata, Testudines, Cheloniidae.